UUGAGAAUGCAUCAAGACAUAUAGAUAUUACACAAUAGGGCCGGUAUUCGCCCGUAGUCACGGGAGACUUUUAAUGUUUAAAGUUAGCCCGAUUGAAAAAUAAAAUAAAAUAGAAUCAAUUUUUUUUUUUUUUUACUUUUUAAACUUUUUUCAGAGACAACGGUACGGUGCAAGUUGCAAAAACCUAUCCAACACAACAUGUUGACGGCUUGUAAGAGUUAAUUUCCGCGUUAUAACUAGUAACUCUGUUCUCAUCGACAGCACCAAAAGGUCUGAUACAACUAGUUAAAUUCGUUGUUUGUUUGUUUGUUUUUCCCAUGAAGCCUGCUGUGACGAAGUACGUCGCUCAGGUUAACGCAGGGGUCACUAACAGGUGGACCGGGGUCCGAGUCCGGACCCAGACACCACCCUAUAGGGCUUUGGAGUUGACGUCACGCCGCAAUGCAUUGUGGGAGCGCGGCACCAUUUUCGGGGUCUACAAAUCAAAACAAACACACUGUGCUGGAACGACGACUACAAGAAAAAUGCUUAAAAGCAGCUCAAAAGACAAUUGACUGUAUAGAGACCGAUUGCGUCCAGAGGCGAAGCAGCGGUACUUGCAAAAAAUAGCGUGCAUUGGAAAUGUGGACCCUUAUGAAGUACGGCCGUGGAGUAGAAACCCUGAAGACCUACCGCUAUUGACGUAGCCUGACAUAUUUUCGUACCUUGUCUGUGGAGUCAGCGCGUACAAGUCGUCAUUCAAACAAAGGUACUGCACUCUCAAAGACUGAAUGAACCAGCAUUGCAGCCAUGGGUCACUGUGAGCAUCACAGGGAAGGUUGAAGCCGCCCACUGCACCUGUAUGGCCUGAGUCAAAGACACCUGCAGCCAUGUCGCUGCUCUUCUGUUUAAUGUAGAAGCAAAAGUGCGGAUCCGUGGCACAAGGACUAUUACAGAUGAACCUGCAUACUGGGUUUUGCCUGGUAAUAUGACCAAGAUACAGCCAGAGGUUGGCCAUAAGAUAGACUUCUCCUCUUCAGCUGCCCAAAAAAGGCUCUUGAUCAAAACAUAAACAGACCAUCCGUAUUGAAAGGUAAAAGGAGCCGUCCUCAAAAAAGAAAAAUCCCACCUGCUACUGUGGAGGAGUUGUCACUACUAUAAUGCCAUAAUGUUUUAUCUAGGCGUCUAGAUUUAUACCUGUAGUGCACUGCCAUGUAAAUAA
Oreochromis niloticus (Nile tilapia) is the source of this 1201-nucleotide long non-coding RNA. RefSeq lists it as uncharacterized. The record is from RefSeq and is a predicted model, not a curated record. The transcript is spliced from 2 exons. Lineage: Eukaryota; Metazoa; Chordata; Actinopteri; Cichliformes; Cichlidae.